Molecule: RNA transcript, 2296 nt
Organism: Panicum hallii
Lineage: Eukaryota; Viridiplantae; Streptophyta; Magnoliopsida; Poales; Poaceae
Exons: 2
Source: RefSeq, a predicted model, not a curated record
UCUCCUCGAUGGCGCCACCACGACCCCACGAUCUCCGGCGCUAGGGUGCAGGGACGCACCACCGUCUGCAUCGGGCGGCCGCUGCCUCGGUAGUCACUGAUCCAGUGAUCCCGGUCUCCGGCGGCGCUGUCGCCCCGUCAGAGGCAACGAAUGGCGGCGCGUUCCCAACAGUACCGUCCCGCGGUACCCCGACCUGAUUUGGAAUCGAGCCGCACCCCGAUCUAUGCGAGUCCCCUGUCCCCAUCACCCACCCUACUGAUCUCCGACGUGCUAGUCGGCGUGAAGCGCUGCUCGCGGCCCUCUCCCAUCGACCGCAACGGCCGCUCCCUUUCCUCUUCGUCGUCGUCCUCCUGUAGACAUGUACCUUGAAUUCGCGAAGGUGAUUGGCCAACUCAGCGUCGUCCGAACACCGACGGAAGCCGCGUUAUGUCUUCUCGGAGCUCCGCCCCCUUCCGCCGGCGUCGAGCUUUUCUCCGCCGUCGCCAUCACCGGCCAACGGACACAGAAGAUGAUCUAAUUCAGAACUAGGGGGUAUUUGUAAAAUAUCGGAUCGCGGUUAUUAAUCGCGAUCCAAUUUACGGGGUAUUUGUAAAAUAUCGGAUCGCGAUUAGUAAUAUCGAUCCGACUUAGGGGUUUUUGUGCAAAUAUCCAGGGUGCAUAUGCAAACUGUUUAUCCUCGACCUCGCCGCGACCGCCAUAGCCCCCGCCCCUUCCAGCCCCCAACGCGCCAGCUUCGAGGGCGACAGCCGACUCUUCGCCGCGGCUAGGCUCGUCGUACCCUAACGCCGCGCUCCCCAUGGCCCUCGUCCCCUACAACCGCACCCCUGCCGCGGCAGGCCCAUCAACGCCGCAGCCUCUGCUGUUAGCGCAAGGUGAGCCAUUCGAUUCCCCUAGCCGAAUCUCUACCCCGUUCAAGUAUCUGUUCAUCCUCUCUCAUCUCCUCCUCUUCUCCCUGGCAAGCGAAGGACCGGUAGCGCGAGAUCCCCCGUCUCCGCGAGGAGCUCAAGCUGAUCCGAGGUGCGUGCGUGCUUGCUCGAUUGGAAGGUUCCCAUGGCCCGAUUCGUGUAGCCUGAGUGUGAUGUGAACUUAGAUGUGCAUGCUACAUUGACAGGCCUGCAAACCGUCUCAAGCUGGAAUAUCCCUAAACCUAAUGUGAGUUUUUUCUAUUUUGACUUACUCCCCCACCGCGAUCGAACGGGAAUGGAUAAGAGGCUUGUGGGAUUGACGUGAUAGGGUAGGGUUGGCUAUACUGCUGGUGAAAUUGGCUCCCUUGGCUGGGUCUGCACUGACAGAAAGAGUAGGCAGUGUGGGCGGGGGUGACGAACUAGCUGCAGUGGGACAUGGAAUGGAUCGCGGAUGCUGUGGGAACUUCUGAAAGGCAGCGACUGCUAUGCAAACAGAGUAUAAAUGCAAUCAUGCAAUCAUCUAAUCACUGUCAUCAGAUCUUAAUCCAACGUCAUUAGGCUGUUUUGCAGAUCAACCCUCCCACCAUCCGGACUGUUUUGCAACUGGUCUUGGCCCAGAGCCGAUCGGGGGCCUCACGAGCCGAGCCGAUCCGAUCGAUCGGGGGGCAGAGCCUGCGCCUUCCUCCGGGAUCGAGCUCCGGCCCGGCCGCCAUCCAGGGGCGCCGCUGCUCCCAGGCGUUGGUUCGAUGCGAGCUCCGGCCCGGCCACCAUCCAGGGGCGCCGCUGCUCCCAGGCGCUGGUUCGAUGCGAGCUCCGGCCCGGCCGCCAUCCAGGGGCGCUGCUCCCAAGCACCAGCAAAGGGCGAGGUCCCCGCAAGGCGAGCUCCAGCACCAGUACCGCGCCAGACGAGGGCGCCCAGGCCACCGCCGCUCUAGGGGCCUGAAGCGCGCAGGGAGGAUACGAAGCCGCAUCCCCUCCGUUCCAGGGUGAGGGAUAGGGCGCCCAGGCCGCCGCCUCUCAAUGGCUAGCGUGCCCAGGGCGAGCUCCCAGCCGCAUCCCCUCCAUUUCAGCCACUGAAGAAGGCUUCUUGAUUUUUUUAGGGCCUCUGUUCUUGGGCAGGGACCUAGUAUCAUCGAGCAGCAAUUGACAGAAGUCUGUUUGUGCUUGUAAUUUGUAAUAGCAGAAGCCUGUUUGUGCUUGUAAUUUGUAAUGGCAGAAGCCUGAAACUGCUUGUAAUUUAUAAUGUCCUAGCAUCAGGACCUAGUGCACUCUUGUCCAUGGCUGUCUCUGUUCUUCAGACCUGGUUUGAGUAGCUUGUCUUGUGAUAUACUAAAUGAGUAGCUUUCAACCUGCCUAAUCUCCAAUAGAAAGAUGUGAGCUUAACUGUCUCC